UGGUCACGCAAAGGAUCUGUCAGCUGAU
RNAcentral lists this non-coding RNA (28 nucleotides) under Homo sapiens (human). Lineage: Eukaryota; Metazoa; Chordata; Mammalia; Primates; Hominidae. The record is from RNAcentral.